AUAACAUUUGGAAACAGAUGCUAAUACCGCAUAAACCUAACACCGCAUGGUGAGGGUUGAAAGAUGGUUUCGGCUAUCACUUUAGGAUGGACCCGCGGUGCAUUAGUUAGUUGGUGAGGUAAAGGCUCACCAAGACCGUGAUGCAUAGCCGACCUGAGAGGUAAUCGGCCACACUGGGACUGAGACACGGCCCAGACUCCUACGGGAGGCAGCAGUAGGGAAUCUUCCACAAUGGACGAAAGUCUGAUGGAGCAACGCCGCGUGAGUGAAGAAGGUUUCGGAUCGUAAAACUCUGUUGUUGGAGAAGAAUGUAUCUGAUAGUAACUGAUCAGGUAGUGACGGUAUCCAACCAGAAAGCCACGGCUAACUACGUG
Molecule: ribosomal RNA, 374 nt
Filed under: uncultured bacterium
Lineage: Bacteria
Description: bacterial SSU rRNA
Rfam family: Bacterial small subunit ribosomal RNA
Source: RNAcentral